RNAcentral lists this ribosomal RNA (98 nucleotides) under Bacillus safensis. The record is from RNAcentral. Lineage: Bacteria; Bacillati; Bacillota; Bacilli; Caryophanales; Bacillaceae.
UUUGGUGGCGAUAGCGAAGAGGUCACACCCGUUCCCAUACCGAACACGGAAGUUAAGCUCUUCAGCGCCGAUGGUAGUUGGGGGUUUCCCCCUGUGAG